UCAUUGUUAUGCUUUGUGUACAAAUGUAACUCAUCACUCGCUCCAUAGUUCGUGAUUGAGUUAAAUCAUUGUAAAAUUGAAUAUGAGUUACCAUAAAUAAUCAAAUUAAAUUACCACAAACAAUGCUAGUGGUGUUUAAUGGAAAUUAUGUCCAAUCAUCAUUGAAUGCAAAUUUUGAGGUGGAAAAUAAAACAUCUAGACUUAUAAAUAAUUCUUCCCACAAUUAGAUUUUUACACCUAAGAGUGGCUAAGCGUAGCUUUUCUAAUCGGGUAAACAUUAUUAUGAAUCAUAAAAAUAAAAUUUGCAUCCACAACAAUUCUACACAAUUCCAUUUUUGCUUAUUUUGUUUCUCAUUUAUUUCCAAACAAAUGAUGAUGGGUUGUAUGGACCCGGUUGAUUGUUAGCCACUAUAAAAAUGCAUGUUGCACAUAGUACAUUUCUACCAACAAAAAAAAUUCUUCAUAUAAAAGAUUAAGAUGGGUUCCUCCAUUGGAAGAGCAAUGAUGUUGAUGUUGCUUGUGUUGCUCUUCACAACUGUUUGUGACGCAAGCUGGGAAAAACAUGUAAGAGUUACAAAUCAAAUACCAGGCGUCACCCUCAACGUUCAUUGCAAAUCCGCUGAUGAUGAUCUCGGUCUCCAAGAGCUUGCCCCUAAUGCUUUCUUUGAGUUCAGUUUUCGAUCCAGUUUUAUAGGGGACACUGAUUUCUACUGUAGUUUCCAGUGGCCUGGUGCAUCACUAGAGUGGUUUGAUAUAUAUAUCAGCAGUAGAGACCUCACAGUUUGCGACAAGUGUUGGUGGUCUGUAAGACCUACUCAAGAUGGUCCUCAUCCAUGCAUGUUGAAUUGGGGAAGCGGCCAAUAUGAAAUUUGUAAACCAUGGAACAAGUGAGCUAUGAGCUUCCAUUACUUUGUGUUAUGUUUAAGUAAAAUAAGAGCCGUUUUGUUAGAGAAUAGAGAUGUAGAAUAAAAUGGUUUUUUUUAAUGUCAAAAUUAAAGAGUUAAUCACAUUUGCAGCAAUUGGUUGGUAGCUACACAUUAGUUUCAUCUCUGACAAAAAAUAAUCUAAGAUACCAUAUGAGCAUUAACCAAUAGUGUUUAUCUAGUCAGUAACUGACCAAGGAAAUCAUACUAACUCAUCCUUAAUAUAAAUUCAAAGGUGGAAAGUAAGACAUCUCAAUUUAAAAAUAGUUAUGUCUACAAUUAGAUUUACAUUUAAGGGUAAUCACACAUAGCCUUUUUGGUGAACAUUGUUGAGAAUCACAAGAGAAUCUUCACCCAUAACCACAAUAUAUAAUUCCAUUUUUUCGCUUUAUUGUUUUCCAUUUCUUCCCAAAAUUGAUGAUAGGUUUUAUGAACCUAGUCAAUUGUCAUAUGAUCUAAUCCAUUUAGCCACUAUAAAAAAGUAUGUUGCACAUAGUACAUUUCUACCAAGAUAACACUUCAAAACAAAUUAGCAUGGGUUUUUUCAUUGGAAGAGUAGUGAUGAUGGUGUUGCUUAUGUUGUUCUUUAGAAUUGCUUGUGAUGCACACUAGACAAAACAUGUAAGAGUCAUGAAUCAAUUAGAAGGCAUGACACUCAACGUUCACUGCCAAUCCGCUGACAAUGAUCUCGGUCUCCAAAAACUUGCCCCUAAUGCUUUCUUCCAGUUCAACUGUAAAUCUAGUUUUAUAAGAGACAUUAAAUUCUACUGCACUUUCUAAUGGCCUGGUGCAGAAGAAUGAUUUGAUGUAUAUAUGGGCCGUAGAGACCUCAAAGCUUGCAACCAAUGUUGGUGGUUUGUAAGAAUUAAGAACUACUUAAUAUGGUCCUUAUCCAUAUAGGAUGGACUUGGGCAGCAACAAAAAUAUGAAAUUUGUAAACCAUGGAAACAAAAGUCAACCAUGAGCUUGCACUAAUUUGUGUUCUGUUUAGAAGUGUUGUUUUUGUUGGAGAUAUAGAAUAAAAUGGUUUGUUUGAGGCCUCGUUUUUUUGGCGGAAAAUAUGCAACAUGAUAGGAAAGUUGUUCAUUUCCUGCGUUUGGAAAAGCCAAAGGAAAUGAAAGACUUUCCUGAUUGAAAGGAAAAUAUGGGGGAAAGUGGCUCAUUCCAAAAUCCAAUGGAACCACUUUCAUUCAUUCUUUCUCUGUAUUUAUUACUCACAUCAUAAUAUUUUAUUAUAUUUUUUAAGAACUUUCCCAAUGACUUUUUUUGCGUUACCAAACAUCAGAAUACAAACUUCUCUUGAAAUUUUAUUCCUGUUCACUUUCUCUUCCCAUGGGAGAGAGGAAUUAAUUACUUUCCUUUCUGCAAACCAAACGAGGCCUGAGUGUCAAUUAAAGAAUUUUUCACAUUUGCAGCAAUAAGAACUUAAGAAGCAAAGCCUUUGUUUCAUUCCUCCAAUCCUUGUCUUGUUAAUUAUUUGUAGGACGCAGUGUAGAGGUAAAUGUUUUUUUUUUUGGUGGUAAGAGAUAAAUGUUCUUCAGAAAACUGUUUUAACAAGAUAAAUGCGUUCACGUCAUCAUACGCACAGCAGUAAUGCAUUGAUAUUAAUGUUUCAAAGAGAUACGAAACGACCAUUUGAAGGUGAAGAAUUUGGUCAGAUCUCUCAUACUAUUAAUUUUCCCCUGAAAAGAGUAACAUUAAGAUUCCAAGGCUCCACUCAUCUAGAACAAAUAUUUUUUAAACCACACGCUGAUAUUAAGGAAGCUCUCAAAGUCGAACUGAGGCCUGCAAACAAGAAUUUGAAAGAGAUUAAAUCCGAUCGUGAAUUGUAUAUGCUUCGCUGCAUUAUUAACUAAUGAGUAGAAUGCACAACACACAUUUGGAUCAUGUGUUUACCUGUCAGUUGGAUGGAUGUUAUUAGGGAACACAAUAACUUUCACAACAACUCCUUUGUCCUUCAAUGCUCGAGCCUACUGCAAAUAUAAGCAUCCAACUCUCAUCUCAUCUCAUUAAACUACAGUUUAGUAGUCAUAUAUGCAUCAAAGUUUCCAACCCCACAAGAUAACAAAUGAGGUUACUUAUUUUUUAUUAGUAAAAGGAUGAAAGAGAUUUAUAGAUGCCAACUGUUUUUGAAUUUUUGCUUCAGUCACUUUAUUAUCGAAGCACUUGCUAUUGUUGUCAAAUCAUUAAAUAAGAUUAUAAUGUUAAAUGUCUAGUUGAGUAGAAGGGGAACAUAGCUUACUUGUAAUCCAGUGGAAAUCAGAACGCGAAGAUCCUGAGCGCCCAAAAGAAAAAGGGUGGGUGUUUUGACAUGCAGCAACGUGCAUUCAAUUCGGCAGUAGCAACGACGUACAUUCAAGUCGGCAAUAACAACGACGUGCAUCCAAGUUGGCAGUAGCAAUAAAAUGUGUAAAGAAUGGUAGUUUGGUAAAAUAUGUAGUGACAUGUGAUAUGUGGACAUUACUUUGUCAUUAUUUGUUAAUUUUUGUUCUUAAAUGUGUAAAAUAUUGUGUAAAUGAUGUAUCUGUAAACUGAAAUUUGGUUAGUAAUUAAUAUGUAGUUUACUAUAAUAAAAUUAAAGUUACCACAUGGACAAUUUCUAACUAGUGGUGUUUAAUGGAAAUUAUGUUCAUGCAAAAUUAGAGGUGGAAAAUAAAACAUAUAUGAUGAAGAGUAUGUGAAUACGAGAAUAAAGGUCUACUCAUUUCAUUGAUAUCAUGACCUUUAUAUAGGCAUUACAUAGAGAAUCCAUGUAAAUUAGGGUUUGAUAUCUAACAAUAUUCUAGUCUAAUAAGGAGAAGAUUCGGUCAAACCACAUCAUCAAUGAUAGGAAUGUAAAUUCCUUCAACAAUAUAGACUUAUAAAUAAUUCUUCCCAUAAUUAGAUUUUUACAUCUAAGAGUGGCUAAGCGUAGCUUUUCUAACCAGGUGAAUAUUAUUUUCUGACCAGGUGAACAUUAUUGUGAACCAUAAAAAAAAAUCUGCAUUCACAACAAUUCUACACAAUUCCAUUUUUGCUUAUUUGUUUUUUCAUUUAUUUCUAAACAAAUGAUGAUGGGUUGUAUGGACCUGGUUGAUUGUUAGCCACUAUAAAAAAAGCAUGUUGCACAUAAUACAUUUUUACCAACAUAAAAAUUCUUCAUAUAAAAGAUUAAGAUGUGUUCCUCUAUUGGAAGAGCAAUGAUGCUGAAGUUGCUUGUGUUGCUCUUGACAACUGCUUGUUGUGAAGCAAGCUGGACAAAACAUGUAAGAGUUACAAAUCAAAUACCAGGCGUUACCCUCAAUGUUCAUUGCAAAUCCGCUGAUGAUGAUCUCGGCCUCCAAGAGCUUGCCCCUAAUGCUUUCUUUGAGUUCAGUUUUCGAUCUAGUUUUAUAGGGGACACUGAUUUCUACUGUAGUUUCCUGUGGCCUGGUGCACCACUAGAGUCGUUUGAUAUAUAUAUCGGCAAUAGAGAUCUCAAAGUUUGCGACAAGUGUUGGUGGUCUGUAAGACCUACUCAGGAUGGUCCUCAUCCAUCCAUGUUGAAUUGGGGAAGCGGCCAAUAUGAAAUUUGUAAACCAUGGAACAAGUGAGCUUCCAUUACUUUGUGUUAUGUUUAAGUAAAAUAAGAGCCGUUUUGUUAGAGAAUAGAGAUGUAGAAUAAAAUGGUUUUUUUUAGUGUCAAAAUUAAAGAAUUAAUCACAUUUACAACAAUUGGUUGGUAGCUACACAUUAGUUUCAUCUUUGACAAAAAAUAAUUGAAGAUACCAUAUGAGAACCAAUGGUGUUUAUCUAGUCAGUAAUUGACUAAGGAAAUCAUGUU
RNAcentral lists this long non-coding RNA (4725 nucleotides) under Fragaria vesca (wild strawberry). Its description in RNAcentral is "long non-coding RNA (FVES_LNC001757)". The record is from RNAcentral. Lineage: Eukaryota; Viridiplantae; Streptophyta; Magnoliopsida; Rosales; Rosaceae.